This is a long non-coding RNA of Erinaceus europaeus (western European hedgehog), 1657 nucleotides long. RefSeq lists it as uncharacterized. Lineage: Eukaryota; Metazoa; Chordata; Mammalia; Eulipotyphla; Erinaceidae. The transcript has 3 exons. The record is from RefSeq and is a predicted model, not a curated record.
GAAUGUCUGCCAUGGAAAGCCAGCCAGGCGGGCACGGGGCUGGGGCCAGAGGUGGGCUCAAAUGACCAUCAGGGUUUCACACUGGAGGCAGAAGAAGAAAGGGGGAACCACUUCCGGCUGACACUUGGCAUGGGCCAACAGGGAAACAGCAUGGACUCGGUAGUCCUGUGUGUCUGGGAAGCAGGCUGCUCAGAGAGCAUAUGGACCCCCAGCCCCCCGGCCCAGGACAGGGGAGACUCACCAACAUUGGCGACAUAGAGCUUGUUGUUGAGGAGGACAGCCACGACGGCCAUGGCUCCCCCUGAAAUCUCCCUCUCCAAUGCCUUGAGUCUUUCGAGGAUCUUUUGAUACUGAGGAGGCAGCUGGUGCUGAGGGACACCCUACAAGCCAUCAUUAGGGUCAAUGAAGGGUCUGCAGAAGCCAUCCCACCAACCCUCCUCCCCUUAAAGUGCCAGGGGCUGAGGACGUGCAGCUCAGAUGGAAGCGGCACAGCAGCCCCAGGGGUGGAGGGAGCCUAACCUGUCCUGCUGGCUCGGAAACUCUAGGUGACGAGGCUGUGGACUGACUCAGGUUGAGGAAGGACCUGGAAAAGGACUGCAGGCCAGGGAGGCCCCUAUCACCGGCUCACCAGGAAGAGGGCCUGCAGUGCCAGGUGUGUGACCCAAGGGCAAGCUCCAGCUGUCUCUCUCUCUCUGAUCAGAAAGUGACCUGGGGAAGUGAAUUCACACACGCGCAAGGCCUUGGUCCCACCAAAAAAGGACUGAAUUCCUGCUGCUCUAGCCCAGCCAUACCAACGGCCUAAGAGUGACAGGUGGAGCUGACAUGGCCCUCCUGGGGUAUGGCGGGAGGUUACCUCUGGCAGCUGGGACUGGAGGCUGGCCUUCUCAGCCAGAGCAUCAUCAAUGGACUCCAGGAAGCUCCGCUCCACCACGUCAAAGGCCUGCAAGGCAGGGGACAAGGAGAGAUGUUGGCAGAAGCUGGUUCAAAAUGCCACCACCACCUGCUACUGAAACACCCCUGGCUGAGAAUAAGAUGUGUCAGCUGCAGGUCAUCAUGUGAUGGACACGGGCCACACAAGACACUGCCUUCCUGCAGUGCCGUGUCUCUGACAGAGACCUCAGCCUCAUAGGGCUGAUGCUUUCUUUCUUCCUUUUUAAUAUUUAUUAUUGGAUAGAGACAGGAAGAAAUUGAGAUAGAGAAACAGACACCUGCAUCUGUUUUACCACUCAUGAAGCCUUCCCUUUGCAGGUGGAGCGGGGGCUUGAACCCGGUCCUUGAGCACUGUAAUGUGUGUGCUUAAACAAGUGUGCCACCACCUGCCCCCCCCCCCCAAAGCACUGGUCACCCUUGGCUGAUGGUGGUGCAGGGGAUUGAACCUGGGACUUUGGAGCCUCAGUCACCAGGUUCCAGAUGCCAUCAGGAUGCUGGCCAGGCUUCCCUGGACUGAAGACCCCACCAAUGUGUCCUGGAGCUCCACUUCCCCAGAGACCCACCCUACUAGGGAAAGAGAGAGGCAGACUGGGAGUAUGGACCGACCAGUCAACGCCCAUGUUCAGCGGGGAAGCAAUUACAGAAGCCAGACCUUCUACCUUCUGCAACCCACAAUGACCCUGGGUCCAUGCUCCCAGAGGGAUAGAGAAUGGGGAAGCUAUCAGGG